UGCUAAAUCGGCCUACUUCAAUGACUAAAACAGUACAAUGUUAAUAUAUAGUAGAGAUAGUUUAUGAUGAAUGUAUUCUGUAUGUAGUCUCUGACAACUAAACUUCACCAUCAGUAUGGCGUUACAUUUGUGUCAUAUGUCGCGCGAGCGGAUAACACAUCUGCACCCGUGCAGAUCUCUCUCUCGCGUAAAUUAUUUUGUGUCACGCGUGCAGAUAUCAACUGCCACGCGGACUUGUUUGAUCUUCGCGCACAUAUUCAGCAACAGAGUGAAACAGAGGCAGGUGCGAGCGAGUAAAAAACAGCAGCGACACGCACAACAACACUGUGCAGCUGUUAUGCGUGCGCUGGCUCGCUCCUGCUCUCGCUCUCUCUCUCCCCUGUGCUCGCUCGCGGUGGAGCUCUGCUCGCUCGAAGCAAGGACUUUUGACACUUUGGGGGCAGACACCAAGGCUGACCCCGGCCAGACCCCGGCCCUCUUAUGAUUGGUCAUUUUCCAGCCCCCCACGUGGGUGCCUUUUCGGUUUUCUGCUGAUGACAGCUUCUGUCACAGACAGGAAGCACAGUGGUAGCGGUGGCAAAUUGGAGGAAGAAGAAGAAGAAGGAGAAGGAGGAGGAGGAAGGAAGAAGGAAGAAAGAGACGAUCGAUGAUUUGACAGUAAGUAUGCUGCUGUUUAUUUGGUUUCAUAUUUUAUAGCAAUAGCUAACGCUAGAUAGCUUUCAAGUGAUGAGUUAAGUUGAGUUAUCGAACUUUAGCUACCGAACUGGCUGAUUCACGGUUACUGUUUGCUAGGUCAGCUACCAUUUUCUACCGGAAAAAACUGGGUGCUAGUGCCAAUGCUUAACUGGUUCAACUCUCGUGCCCCCAAAGAACUAGUUUGAUUUCCACUUUUACUGAGUAUUCACAUAAUCUGCUUCCUGGAAUAUCCCUCUGGGGUAUAAGUUGUUUGCUUUAGCAGCUAAUCUUUAUGGGCACAUUAAUGUUCAUAUGUCAAUCACAGCAUAUUUUAGAGACAAGUCGUUAGACUAACUGUAUUCGCCAUCCUCCCACAGGUUACGUGGAGAAUAUAAUACAAUAGUUUAUUGCAUUCAUUAUGGAAGUUUUCCUGUCACUAUACACCCACCAACUAAUUUAGCUUUUUAUGUUGAAUGUAUUGUUUAUGAAGCUCAGGGACAGAGCAGGGGCAGCAGGCAGGCACCACCCCAAGAACCAGGGACCUCUGUCCAGUGAGACAUGGCCAGGUUUGGUUGCUGUUUCAAAGAUACAUUUGGAUGUGAACGUUUAGCCAGUCCUUUUAAAUCAUGUGUAAAAUUAUUUUACACAUGGUUUUUACUAAAAUCUCUCUGGAAUUGGCUUUUGAAUUUCUGUAAAAGUGAGGGGAAAAAAACACAGAUAUGUCAGGAAGAGCCCUCAUCAGUUGAGGUCUUGGAAUAAUUUGAAUUUCUGCACCCUUUCUUUUAGGUGUUUCCCUGGACUAUUCAAAGAUAGGAGAUAUGCUAGGCCUGGAUCACAACUGUACAAAAAAAGACCAGGCACAAAGAUAACCCCAGUCCAGUUUUUCCUCAUGCAAAGCCCCUCAGACAAAACUCAUAAACUGUCUCUCACUUUUACAGGCUGGGCUGGGAAGGACAACAGUAAAUAUUCCAGAGGAUGCCAACCACAAAGAGAUUACAAACAUUCUUUGUGAAACUUAUCCAAAGAUAAGUGAUCUGGAGGGGGCCUGGAUGCUUCACAAAGCCAUAGGAGGUUCAGGGCAAUGAAGACUUAACCUUGUGUCACCUGAAGAAGCAGGAUACACCGGGGCCAGUCUCGUGAAGACCUGGGGAGGCAUGGGCUGUCUUUACAUAAUGCCCAUCCAGCUCACACUGGACAUUACUCCCUUGCCCUUUACAGCUCCAGAGUUCCAGGCUAGGCCAAAAGCCCGGUGUGUGUCAUGCCAGGAGUAUGUGCCCCUGCGGCUCCUAAGCCUCCACGUUAAAACAUGUGCCCAGACUAAAGGCAGUGAUGAGAACAAAUCUGAUGAUGACAUCAUCGACUUGGAUCAUAUGGUCUUCGAUGCUGAGAAUGUGGU
Epinephelus fuscoguttatus (brown-marbled grouper) is the source of this 2071-nucleotide long non-coding RNA. RefSeq lists it as uncharacterized. The transcript is spliced from 4 exons. Lineage: Eukaryota; Metazoa; Chordata; Actinopteri; Perciformes; Serranidae. The record is from RefSeq and is a predicted model, not a curated record.